RNAcentral lists this ribosomal RNA (605 nucleotides) under Rhombophryne testudo (Nosy Be burrowing frog). Its description in RNAcentral is "partial 16S ribosomal RNA". The stretch from base 1 to 424 matches the Rfam family "Bacterial large subunit ribosomal RNA", at positions 678 to 1300 of the family's 2925-position model. Lineage: Eukaryota; Metazoa; Chordata; Amphibia; Anura; Microhylidae. The record is from RNAcentral.
CAAGCAAAACGCACUUAAAGUUUGACUCCCCGAAACUAGGUGAGCUACUUUAGAACAGCUCAUGAGCCAACCCGUCCAUGUAACAAAAUGGUGGGAAGAUUCUAAAGUAGAGGUGACACACCCACCGAACCCAGAGAUAGCUGGUUAUUCAGGAAAAGGAUCUAAGUCCAACUUUAAGCCCCCCCUAGUAAUUAUAAACACACCCGCAGCUUAAAAGCCAUUCAAAUAAGGUACAGCCUAUUUGAACAAGAAGACAAUCUAUAAUGCAGGGUAACGACUUCCCCGUGGUCAAGUAGGCCUAAAAGCAGCCAACUUCCAAAAAGCGUCCAAGCUUCCCCACCGCACAUCACUAAUUCCCCCACUUAUACCCAACCCGCAACCAUUACUGAAUAAUCCCAUACAAUUAUGGGAAAUAUUAUGCUAGAACUAGUAACAAGAAGAAGAACUUCUCCCUAAUGCAAGCGUAAGCCAAAAUGGACCCCCUCCACCGGCACUUACCCGCCCCCACAACAGUAUCAACUCAACAAGAAAACCAUACCACCCCAAACGUUAACCUUACACUAGUGCACUACCGGAAAGAUUAAAAGAGGGGGAAGGAACUCGGC